Molecule: ribosomal RNA, 500 nt
Filed under: uncultured bacterium
Lineage: Bacteria
Description: partial 16S ribosomal RNA
Rfam family: Bacterial small subunit ribosomal RNA
Source: RNAcentral
AUUGAACGCUGGCGGCAUGCCCUACACAUGCAAGUCGAACGGCAGCACGGGAGCAAUCCUGGUGGCGAGUGGCGAACGGGUGAGCAAAGUAUCGGAACGUGCCCAGUCGUGGGGGAUAACGUAGCGAAAGUUACGCUAAUACCGCAUACGAUCUAUGGAUGAAAGCGGGGGAUCGCAAGACCGCGCGCGAUUGGAGCGGCCGAUAUCAGAUUAGGUAGUUGGUGGGGUAAAGGCUCACCAAGCCGACGAUCUGUAGCUGGUCUGAGAGGACGACCAGCCACACUGGGACUGAGACACGGCCCAGACUCCUACGGGAGGCAGCAGUGGGGAAUUUUGGACAAUGGGCGAAAGCCUGAUCCAGCCAUGCCGCGUGCAGGAUGAAGGCCUUCGGGUUGUAAACUGCUUUUGUACGGAACGAAAAGGUUUGGCCUAAUAAGCUGAGCUCAUGACGGUACCGUAAGAAUAAGCACCGGCUAACUACGUGCCAGCAGCCGCCGUAA